CACUUCAGCGCAACCUGCUGACGUGGAAGGAAAUCGCGUAAGGAAAUCGCACCCUCAAGGACGAGAUUUCCUUCCACGUCAGCAGGUCGCGCUGACGUGG
Gossypium hirsutum (cotton) is the source of this 100-nucleotide non-coding RNA. The record is from Rfam. Lineage: Eukaryota; Viridiplantae; Streptophyta; Magnoliopsida; Malvales; Malvaceae.